UAUUAAUUUUAACGAUAGGCAUGUGUACGGGUAAUUUUAAAUUUAUAAUAUAAUAUUGUGUCCGCCGUGGCAACACCUAUAGCUUAUAACAGGUGGUAUGGAAUUCCGACCAGAACCUUCUCAAGAGCAAAAACGAAUAUCCGAAUUCCGUCUCGGAUGGAUCAUCUAGGUCUGAACUCCUGUCCCUGAUAUAUAAUAAGUAUUAAAUU
Molecule: non-coding RNA, 209 nt
Organism: Cinara cedri
Lineage: Eukaryota; Metazoa; Arthropoda; Insecta; Hemiptera; Aphididae
Source: the annotation of a GenBank genome assembly